CUCACAACCAUCUGUUGUAGUGAGAGAUCCAACUAGCCACACCUGUGGCACUGACCAUGCCCAUUUGAGCGUGGUCACAGGUGUGUAUGUGAGCCUGUGGGAUUUGGUCUGGGGUUCAGGACAGGCUUGAGCUCUCUUGGUUCCAGUCUCUCCCGCCCUGCACCCUCCUGUCCUUUGGUUCGAUUUGUAGUUGUUGUGACAGUGUACUCCAGGGCUAAGAGACCUCACCAUUCCCAGAGUGUAUCACAACUUAGUGAGACCCUAUAUCCCAAAUGAACUAGAAACUGGAUAAGAUGACUCAGAAGUUAGAACAUUUGCUACCCUUCCAGAGGACCUGAUUUUGAUUCAGAGCACCUACCUGGGGAGGCUCAAACUACUUGUAACAUUCUUUAGGGGCUCUCAAGUCCUCUUCUGACCUUUUUAGGUACCUUUACAUGCACAGGCAUACAUGUGCAUGCUCUCUCUCUCUCUCUGUCUCUCUCUCUCUCUCUCACACACACACACACACACACAUAUACACACACACUGAUACACAUCUACACGCAAAUAAAAAGAAUAAAUAAAUUAAAAAAACCCCAGGACUAUAACUCAGCAUUAAUCUAGCAUGUGUGAGGCCCUGGCUUCAAUCCUCAUUUUAGGGGCUGAGAGUUGACAAAGAGGAAGGGGAGGAGGUAUUUGAGAUGUGAGCUACCCUUCUUGAAGCCGUUCCUUCUCCACAGCCUGAGGAAUGUUUCUUUCUCAUCACUUUACCUGCAGUGUUGACAUACCCUCUUUUCUGGAGAAAACUUUGAUCUUAUUUAUGACCCUCUGACUAGAGGAAUUCAGAGCUCAGUCCUUCCAGCCUGACCAGGUCUUUAAAGGGAGAAUGGGCCUGAGCUGCUGAUGGAUGCCAGUAUUGAGUGCUGAUCUGAAGACAUCUUAAUAACUAUGGUCCCCUCAUCUGCCAUCAUUACACCAGGAACCCUUUGAGAGCCGUGCUACAUGUGGUUAAGGCUAACUGAGCAUUCUACUGAAAUUUUACUAUGUGAAGUUCUGUUUUGCCAUUUCAACCAAUUUUUCUCUGCUUUCUUUGACGGCUGGAGAAAGGAAGUGGGGAAUGGUUUUCCCAUUUUGGUCUGCUUAGUCCCGUGGAGAGUUUGAUUUGUGGCUAGUGUUUGAAAGACAAGAAAGAACCCGUUGUUCAGAUAUCCCUCCUGAUUUGACCAAAUAACUUUGAGGAAGUACUUCAUUUGGUUUCACUCAUUUGGGGUGUGUGUGUGUGUGUGUGUGUGUGUGUGUGUAUGUGAGAGAGAGAGAGAGAGAGAGAGAGAGAGAGAGAGAGAGAGAGAGAGAGAGAGAGAGAAUAUUGAGGGCUCAGUGAGUAAAGCUCAUGACCUGGGUUUGAUCCCAUGUGGUGGAAGGAGCUCUGAGUUUUAUAAUCUCCCCAUGGCAUCAAAUAAAUAAAUUUAAUAAAAAUUAGGGUGAUCAAGACAGGACAGGUUUUUAUUCACUCCAGCUUAGGCAAGCCUUAAACCUUCAAUUCUUCUGCCUGUGCCCUUUGAGUAUCUGGGAUUACAGAUACUUUGUGAUACCUAUAUACAUACAUACAUAAUCUUGCUGGGUGGUGGUGGCACACGCCUUUAAUCCCAGCACUCAUGAGGUAGAGGCAGGUGGAUCUCUGAGUCAAGCCUUGGAGUGGUAUCUUGUUCUGCCAGUGGACUUGGAAUGGCUAUCUCCAAAGAGAGUUCCUGUACAGCCAGGACUACACAGAAAAACCCUGUCACCAAAAAACAAAACAAACAAAAAAAAUUAUACCUCAGUCAAACUAAUGAAUGAUUUAGUACAUGGAAUGCCAGUAGUUUGUUGACAUUAUAAAAAAAUACUGGAUUCUAAAAAAAAAGGUUAAAGAGAAAGUACAUGUUUUACAUAAUCAAAUAGAGGGUUUUUUCUAAUAAAUGUUGGAAAUGUUCAGAUUUCCUUCAGUCUGUUAUGGCAGGAAAAGCCUUUUGUUGUUACUGUCCUCAGAAUGCCUUCUGAAUGUCUCCAUCACUUGACACACGGGAUUUUCUCGAGGAAUUACAGUGGGGGUAUAUAGAUUAUUUUGCUUUAGAAAAUUAAAGUACCUGUUAAGGUACUUUCUUUCUCCCUCUGUGCUCCUUCCCCAACUUGGGCUCACAGAUUGUGUUCUGUUGGGACAUUGUCUCAUGUAGCCUAGGCUGGCCUUAGACUUGCCCUGUGGCCAAGGAUGAACUGAACUUCUGAUCCUUGUUCCUCCACCUCCCAAGUUCUGGACAGAUGUCUUGAAUAUGGCAGUGCCCUGUAUCCCUUCUUAGGAGGAAUCUGUAUCUGGAGGGCAGGCUAGAUUACAGAAGGAACAGUUCCCCUGCUGUCAGGGUGUGGCCAUGUUAUUUUGUCCUUUGCAGAGUUCUUGCUGUCUAAGAAAGAAGGUUUUUAGAUUUUGAGUGAGCUGGUCUUUGGCAGUGAGAAAGGUGGGUCUGCUUCUCAUGCCUGACUGGUCAGGAUCAUGACAGCCAGGAGAAAGGGGGCUCUCUUGCCAUGGAUUUCUGGAGUUCUUUGGGAGAGUGACAAUCCAUAGCCACAAUGGCCAAGAUGCUACUGACUCAUCUGGUCCCCUUGAUUGGGCUUUGUGACUGUUAAAGGGAAGGGACUUAGAAUCAGUCAAAGGAAACCAGUGAGGAAUGGAAAGCUGCUGAGGUCUAUCAGGGAUAGCAGGAGUAGAGGUGAGGCUAAGUAGAUAAGGACUAAUCAGAAGCCCGACAGCAGGUGGGCGUGGGCAGAGAGGAGGCCUUCAGUCAGUCAAGAGCUAUUGGGGAAGUCACAGUCAUUCCUCAGGUUCCAGGACCCACCUUUGACCUUAUUUUGUUUUUUGUAGACAAAAGGAAUUAAGAAAAUGGCUCCAUAAGUUGGCAUUUGCAUGUCUGUCUUGUCCCCAGAUGUGGUCAGUUCUGAGUACAACUUUCAUUUCAAAGAUGGCAUAUCAGCCAGACUGAGCCAUUCACUUGCCUGCCCAGAGUUAAGAACUAUGAUGUCUCAGGGGCACACCUGCUAUACAGAUGAUGGCAAGAUCAGUUGCAAGAAACACAUCGAAAUGGAAGACAGUAUGUCCUGAAGGGCCAAGUCAAUCUGUCACCAGCUGACCUAGGGAUUACAGCUGUGAGCCACUGUAUCCAGUUCAUACUGGAGCUGGUUCUCUUGGGCAGUAAGGACAGAGCCUGUGUGGAUCAUAAACUAGUUAUGGAACACUGGUGACCCCUCCCUUGGGUGGACAUAACUGAGGAAUUGUGGUCUCUUUCCUGUUUCAUCACCUGAUGUGCUGCUCAGAGAUGUUCAAGAAAAGAUGACCUCAGGCUCCGUCUGAUUACCACCAUAAAAGCUAUAAAAGACCACUGGGCAGGGCAGCUGGACAGUGUGGAGCCCUUCCCACACUUGGGAAUUCUUUCUCACGUUUCUUUAAUAAAACUGUCAUUCAUUCUGCUCA
This is a non-coding RNA of Cricetulus griseus (Chinese hamster), 3478 nucleotides long. Lineage: Eukaryota; Metazoa; Chordata; Mammalia; Rodentia; Cricetidae. The record is from RefSeq and is a predicted model, not a curated record.